UUCCAAGAAACAAAUCGUCAGAGAAAAAGAGGGCCGGAGAAUCCAGAGCGACGGAGAUGGUUGUUGGCGACGGCAGACGCGGCUGAGGCCAUUCUGUGCUCCGACGACGGGUACGUGAAAAAGCGGGUACGUGAAGGAACAUCAUCGCUGGCCAAUUGGCCUUACACUGGCGGGAACAUCAACGGUGGUAGGUAGGGUUUAAACACUGGCGGCUUUGAAGGUCGGCCGCUGGGUUCAAGAACUCAUUGACAAUAGUAACCCACUUGCCGUCCGAUGAAGACGAUGGUAGUCGAUUCGAGACCAGGGACCGGCUAACUGAUCUAGGGUUCCGAUAAGGGUCGGUUAGGGUUCCGGCAACUCCGAUGUAGUGCAUGUCUCUAAACUGUUUGGGGAGAGGGCGGAGGAGGUGGAAUUUCUCUGUGGGUUUUAACGAUUGCUGAACAAGUGUCUAUAUCUUUUGAUGGAGAGUUGGGAACAUAUGCUUGCUUUUAAGAUGUUACAAAAUUCUGCAAUUCGAAUGCAUGCCAAAGGGCUUUCAAACAAAAACUUUAAACCUUUGGACAUUAAGGGUUUCAAGGCAACCAUCUUAGUUUAAAAAAGCGAGCUUUAAGCAAGCUUAAAGCGUGAGGCGAUGAAGCGCUAGGGUUGUCGCUUUUUUGCUCCAGAGGCAACAAAUCACGUGAAGCGUUUUGAAGCGCCAUUGGUUUGAAGCGACGCUUCAGCUCAAUCAGCAAAGAUGACAGACUGAAUAAGAAGGAAAUUGGUUGCAAGAUGCUGUAAGUGUGUGAAUGGUCUAACCUUUCAUGAAUCCAAGUUUAAGCUGAUUUUGGAUGAACAUGAAUGUGAGACUUUUCAGUAUCUCCACUUUUUGCAUCUCUACCAAUUCCAUUAUCUUUGGCAACUAAUUCAAAUAUGGAGCCCAAGUUCCAGUUGAAGAAUUCAAGAAUACAAUGCUUUGUAUUUUGAUAUUUUCUAAGAAAGAAAUAGUACUAAUGUGAUGAUGCAUGGUCGUGAUUACCUGCUUAGAUCAACCCGGCUCAUCCCAUUCGAAAGAUUUAAGGGUGUGUUGACGACAAUAGAACCAGUAUGUAUUUUUUUUGCUUUUGAUUGUUGCGGGUUUUAAUAAUGAAAAUGUUGUUCCUUACAUGGUCAUGGAUGUGAUGAUGAAGCCUCCUUGAUUGGAU
Molecule: long non-coding RNA, 1184 nt
Filed under: Helianthus annuus (common sunflower)
Lineage: Eukaryota; Viridiplantae; Streptophyta; Magnoliopsida; Asterales; Asteraceae
Source: RNAcentral